RNAcentral lists this long non-coding RNA (223 nucleotides) under Capsicum annuum. Its description in RNAcentral is "long non-coding RNA (CANN_LNC021519)". The record is from RNAcentral. Lineage: Eukaryota; Viridiplantae; Streptophyta; Magnoliopsida; Solanales; Solanaceae.
UAUCUGUCAUCUCAAUUUUUCCAUUAUCAAAGUCUACAAACACUUAAAUGACUCCAAGAAGGUCAAUUCUCAAUCAAAUGCUUCUAAAGCCGCUAAUUUCAAAUUCUCUGCUAAAGUAGAGAGUAUCAUUGGUGUUACUUUUGGAAGCUUUAGAGCUAUUACAAAGAGUAAGGCUACCAUGCUAGGACAACAAACACAUCAAGUGUCUUCUGCGCUAUCUCCA